This 253-nucleotide ribosomal RNA is filed under the name uncultured bacterium. RNAcentral's name for it is "partial 16S ribosomal RNA". It matches the Rfam family "Bacterial small subunit ribosomal RNA", at positions 524 to 776 of the family's 1533-position model. The record is from RNAcentral.
UACAGAGGGGUCUAGCGUUGUUCGGAAUUACUGGGCGUAAAGGGCGCGUAGGCGGCCCUCUAAGUCGAACGUGAAAUCCCCGGGCUCAACCCGGGAACUGCGUCCGAUACUGGAGGGCUCGAAUCCGGGAGAGGGAUGUGGAAUUCCAGGUGUAGCGGUGAAAUGCGUAGAUAUCUGGAGGAACACCGGUGGCGAAGGCGGCAUCCUGGACCGGUAUUGACGCUGAGGCGCGAAAGCCAGGGGAGCAAACGGG